ACUAGCGCCAUGAGUAGCGCACUUGAUGACUCAAAGACAACAGACGCAAGUAUGGACCACGAACUUUACACUGUACAGAGUCCCUCUGAGGACAUUAAGGAUGGCCCAGAUCAUGCAGAAUUCAUUUAUAAAAUGUCAAAUGAAGAAUUCGUUAGAUUCGUGAAGUUGCGCGUGACCAACGACUCACUUUUCACUGGAAAGAGAAAUUCUUCAACUCUGGCUUAUAGGGCCAUCUUGAAAGAGCUGGGUCUGCAAAGGGAAAUUUCUGCCAGCCAGGCCAGGAGGAAAUGGGAAAACCUUAAGAUGAAGUAUAAGGUAUGUUAAUGCCAUGUUGUGAGUGUCCCCAGCACAGCCCCCCAGCAUUGCACAUUUUGGAUAUUGCCCAUAUUUAGCACACCUCAUUCAACUUAUAAGUUCAGGACUCCAUGAACCUUUCAGUCUUCCGAUAGUGUCCUGUAAAGGUUUUAAUAUAGAAUUAAUAAAAUGUUACUUAUUAUUAGAUAUUACAUAUUUUAAUAUAUAUCAUAGCAUAUUACAGAUACAUUUAUGCAUUUGAAUGUUUGCAA
This is a long non-coding RNA of Cyprinus carpio carpio, 566 nucleotides long. The record is from Ensembl. Lineage: Eukaryota; Metazoa; Chordata; Actinopteri; Cypriniformes; Cyprinidae.